This 564-nucleotide non-coding RNA is filed under the name Pongo abelii (Sumatran orangutan). The record is from RNAcentral. Lineage: Eukaryota; Metazoa; Chordata; Mammalia; Primates; Hominidae.
UUUCUUUUCUUUUCUUUUUUCUUUUUCUUUUUCUUUUUUUUUUUUUUUUUUUUGAUGUAGUAUCACUCUGUCAUCCAGGCUUGGAGUGUACAGUGGUGCAAUCUUGGCUCACUGCAAUCUUUGUGUCCCUGGUUCAAGCGAUUCCUGUGCCUCGGCCUCCCAAGUAGCUGAGACUACAGGCACGUGCCACCAUGCCCAGCUAAUUUUUAUAUUUUUAGCAGAGAUGGGGUUUUGUCAUGUUGGCCAGGCUGGUCUUGAACUCCUGACCUCAGGUGAUCCACCUGCCUUGGCCUCACAAAGUGCUGGGAUUACAGGCAUGAGCCACCAUGCCCGGCCUCAAGAAUCUGUUUUUCAUGGGUUAUCUACUGUUUCAUUACAACAAUCAUCUUGUGAGUUAGGUAUUAUCCCCAUUUUACACCCAGAGAAACUAAGCCUUAGAAAGGUUACUAAGGAUACACACACACACACACACAGACACUUUUAAUAUGUAGACAGGAUAUUAUGGCAUUUACUACACUAUAAGUCAUCAUCAGCUUCCCUGCUAGACUGCGCACUUCGUAAGAA